UACGUAGGGUCCGAGCGUUGUCCGGAAUUAUUGGGCGUAAAGAGCUCGUAGGCGGUGUGUCGCGUCGGCCGUGAAAACCUGCAGCUUAACUGUGGGCUUGCGGUCGAUACGGGCAUCACUGGAGUUCGGCAGGGGAGACUGGAAUUCCUGGUGUAGCGGUGAAAUGCGCAGAUAUCAGGAGGAACACUGGUGGCGAAGGCGGGUCUCUGGGCCGAUACUGACGCUGAGGAGCGAAAGCGUGGGGAGCGAACAGG
Molecule: ribosomal RNA, 254 nt
Filed under: uncultured bacterium
Lineage: Bacteria
Description: partial 16S ribosomal RNA
Rfam family: Bacterial small subunit ribosomal RNA
Source: RNAcentral